Molecule: ribosomal RNA, 319 nt
Filed under: uncultured eukaryote
Lineage: Eukaryota
Description: partial 18S ribosomal RNA
Rfam family: Eukaryotic small subunit ribosomal RNA
Source: RNAcentral
CCCUUAGAUGUUCUGGGCAGCACGCGCGCUACAAUGGUCUUCGCAAACGGAUGCAUUCUCGAAUGAGAAUGCCAAUCUUGGAAUCUAUGCCUUGGUCGGGACAGUUGCUUGCAAUUUUUCGACUCGAACCAGGAAUUCCUUGUAAUCGUGAUUCAUCACAUCACGAUGAAUACGUCCCUGCCCUUUGUGCACACCGCCCGUCGCUCCUACCGAUCGAAGAGUUAGGUGAAUUGUUUUGAUCGAUAAGAUUUGACUAUGGUCAACUCUCGUUGUGAAAUUCUGUGAAUCUGACUGUUUAGAGGAAGGAAAAGUCGUAACA